Molecule: ribosomal RNA, 427 nt
Filed under: uncultured bacterium
Lineage: Bacteria
Description: bacterial SSU rRNA
Rfam family: Bacterial small subunit ribosomal RNA
Source: RNAcentral
UUUCGAAUCAUUCACAAUGGGCGAAAGCCUGAUGGUGCGACGCCGCGUGGGGGAUGAAGGCCUUCGGGUUGUAAACCUCUGUCACCGGGGAAGAAACGCUUCAGGUUAAUACCCUGAAGCCUGACUUAACCCGGAGAGGAAGCAGUGGCUAACUCUGUGCCAGCAGCCGCGGUAAUACAGAGACUGCGAGCGUUAUUCGGAUUCACUGGGCGUAAAGGGUGCGCAGGCGGCCAAAUGUGUGAGGCGUGAAAGCCCAGGGCUUAACCCUGGAAUUGCACCUCAAACUAUUUGGCUAGAGCAUUGGAGAGGGAAGCGGAAUUCACGGUGUAGCAGUGAAAUGCGUAGAUAUCGUGAGGAACACCAGAGGCGAAGGCGGCUUCCUGGACAAUUGCUGACGCUCAGGCACGAAAGCGUGGGGAGCAAAAGG